AGAGUUUGAUCCUGGCUCAGAACGAACGCUGGCGGCAGGCCUAACACAUGCAAGUCGAGCGAGAAGCCACCUUCGGGUGGUGGACAGUGGCAGACGGGUGAGUAACGCGUGGGAACGUGCCUUUCGGUUCGGGAUAACCCAGGGAAACUUGGGCUAAUACCGGAUACGCCCUUCGGGGGAAAGAUUCAUUGCCGAAAGAUCGGCCCGCGUCGGAUUAGCUAGUUGGUGGGGUAAAAGCCUACCAAGGCGACGAUCCGUAGCUGGUCUGAGAGGAUGACCAGCCACACUGGGACUGAGACACGGCCCAGACUCCUACGGGAGGCAGCAGUGGGGAAUAUUGGACAAUGGGCGCAAGCCUGAUCCAGCCAUGCCGCGUGGGUGAAGAAGGCCUUAGGGUUGUAAACCCCUUUCAGCGGGGAAGAUAAUGACGGUACCCGCAGAAGAAGUCCCGGCUAACUCCGUGCCAGCAGCCGCGGUAAUACGGAGGGGACUAGCGUUGUUCGGAAUUACUGGGCGUAAAGCGCACGUAGGCGGAUUUGUAAGUCAGGGGUGAAAUCCCGAGGGCUCAACCUCGGAACUGCCUUUGAUACUGCAAAUCUCGAGUCCGGAAGAGGUGAGUGGAAUUCUANUGUAGAGGUGUCAUUCGUAGAUAUUAGGAAGAACACCCGGUGGCGAAGGCG
Molecule: ribosomal RNA, 680 nt
Filed under: uncultured bacterium
Lineage: Bacteria
Description: bacterial SSU rRNA
Rfam family: Bacterial small subunit ribosomal RNA
Source: RNAcentral